AAGUGAAAAUAUGAAAGGGCUGAUGGAUGAAUGAUGAUUAACUAAUCUAUAUUCUAUUAAAAACGAAUACGUUCGUACUUUAAAAUAUAGGAUUAGUCUAUUCAUUUUUUUAUAAGUCAGUUGAUGCCUUAUUAAAUAUGAGUGUAUGACUAAUCCUUCCAAUUAAAAAUGGGGAGGAUUUUUGA
RNAcentral lists this small RNA (185 nucleotides) under Cytobacillus solani. Its description in RNAcentral is "Bacillus sRNA ncr1575". It matches the Rfam family "Bacillus sRNA ncr1575". Lineage: Bacteria; Bacillati; Bacillota; Bacilli; Caryophanales; Bacillaceae. The record is from Rfam by way of RNAcentral.